This 495-nucleotide ribosomal RNA is filed under the name uncultured bacterium. RNAcentral's name for it is "partial 16S ribosomal RNA". It matches the Rfam family "Bacterial small subunit ribosomal RNA", at positions 29 to 506 of the family's 1533-position model. The record is from RNAcentral.
AUGCACGCUGGCGGCGUGCCUCAUCCAUGCAAGUCGAGCGAACAGACGAGGAGCUUGCUCCUCUGACGUUAGCGGCGGACGGGUGAGUAACACGUGGAUAACCUACCUAUAAGACUGGGAUAACUUCGGGAAACCGGAGCUAAUACCGGAUAAUAUAUUGAACCGCAUGGUUCAAUAGUGAAAGACGGUUUUGCUGUCACUUAUAGAUGGAUCCGCGCCGCAUUAGCUAGUUGGUAAGGUAACGGCUUACCAAGGCAACGAUGCGUAGCCGACCUGAGAGGGUGAUCGGCCACACUGGAACUGAGACACGGUCCAGACUCCUACGGGAGGCAGCAGUAGGGAAUCUUCCGCAAUGGGCGAAAGCCUGACGGAGCAACGCCGCGUGAGUGAUGAAGGUCUUCGGAUCGUAAAACUCUGUUAUUAGGGAAGAACAAAUGUGUAAGUAACUAUGCACGUCUUGACGGUACCUAAUCAGAAAGCCACGGCUAACUACGU